Molecule: ribosomal RNA, 439 nt
Filed under: uncultured bacterium
Lineage: Bacteria
Description: partial 16S ribosomal RNA
Rfam family: Bacterial small subunit ribosomal RNA
Source: RNAcentral
CCUACGGGAGGCAGCAGUGGGGAAUAUUGCACAAUGGGCGAAAGCCUGAUGCAGCAACGCCGCGUGAGCGAUGAAGGCCUUCGGGUCGUAAAGCUCUGUCCUCAAGGGAGUUAAUGACGUUACUUGAGGAGGAAGCCCCGGCUAACUACGUGCCAGCAGCCGCGGUAAUACGUAGGGAGCUAGCGUUAUCCGGAAUUACUGGGCGUAAAGGGUGAGUAGGUGGUUUCUUAGGUAAGAGGUGAAAGGCUACGGCUCAACCGGAGUAAGCCUUUGAAACGGGGGAACUUGAGUGCAGGAGAGGAGAGUGGAAUUCGUAGUGUAGCGGUGAAAUGCGUAGAUAUUAGGAGGAACACCAGUUGCGAAGGCGGCUCGCUGGACUGUAACUGACACUGAGGCACGAAAGCGUGGGUAGCAAACAGGAUUAGAUACCCGUGUAGUC